GAGUUUGAUCCUGGCUCAGGUUGAACGCUGGCGGCAGGCCUAACACAUGCAAGUCGAGCGGCAGCACGGGUACUUGUACCUGGUGGCGAGCGGCGGACGGGUGAGUAAUGCCUAGGAAUCUGCCUGGUAGUGGGGGAUAACGCUCGGAAACGGACGCUAAUACCGCAUACGUCCUACGGGAGAAAGCAGGGGACCUUCGGGCCUUGCGCUAUCAGAUGAGCCUAGGUCGGAUUAGCUAGUUGGUGAGGUAAUGGCUCACCAAGGCGACGAUCCGUAACUGGUCUGAGAGGAUGAUCAGUCACACUGGAAUUGAGACACGGUCCAGACUCCUACGGGAGGCAGCAGUGGGGAAUAUUGGACAAUGGGCGAAAGCCUGAUCCAGCCAUGCCGCGUGUGUGAAGAAGGUCUUCGGAUUGUAAAGCACUUUAAGUUGGGAGGAAGGGCAGUUACCUAAUACGUAUCUGUUUUGACGUUACCGACAGAAUAAGCACCGGCUAACUCUGUGCCAGCAGCCGCGGUAAUACAGAGGGUGCAAGCGUUAAUCGGAAUUACUGGGCGUAAAGCGCGCGUAGGUGGUUCGUUAAGUUGGAUGUGAAAUCCCCGGGCUCAACCUGGGAACUGCAUUCAAAACUGUCGAGCUAGAGUAUGGUAGAGGGUGGUGGAAUUUCCUGUGUAGCGGUGAAAUGCGUAGAUAUAGGAAGGAACACCAGUGGCGAAGGCGACCACCUGGACUGAUACUGACACUGAGGUGCGAAAGCGUGG
This 762-nucleotide ribosomal RNA is filed under the name Pseudomonas sp. enrichment culture clone 13.3. RNAcentral describes it as "bacterial SSU rRNA". It matches the Rfam family "Bacterial small subunit ribosomal RNA", at positions 9 to 764 of the family's 1533-position model. Lineage: Bacteria; Pseudomonadati; Pseudomonadota; Gammaproteobacteria; Pseudomonadales; Pseudomonadaceae. The record is from RNAcentral.